Non-coding RNA from Vicugna pacos (alpaca), 358 nucleotides. The record is from RefSeq and is a predicted model, not a curated record. Lineage: Eukaryota; Metazoa; Chordata; Mammalia; Artiodactyla; Camelidae.
GGAAAGCAGAGGCCAGGGACUGCUGUUCUGAAGCACUUCCUCCCCAGGCCCAGCACGAUUCCUUGGCUUCUCCCCGACUGCAGUCUUUGAGAACUGAAGAUGAAAUCGUCCAACCAAGCACCUCAGUAAUGUGCCAAAGUAUGAGGGUGACUUCACACCUCAGCUGAUUCACAUCUGCAAGGAGAGAAAACAAUUGGCAACUGAAUCCAGGCUCACAAAUUCCCCCGGCUUGUCAGCCCUCCCGGGGACUGCGGUGCAGACCCUGAACUGCCGAGAGAGAAGUAGAGCCCAGCUCAGGACCCAACAGAUGAGCCAUACAUAAACUGUGUGAUGAAAGCCUCAAGUUGGUGAAGAAAAA